RNAcentral lists this transfer RNA (68 nucleotides) under Varanus spenceri. Its description in RNAcentral is "tRNA-Tyr". It matches the Rfam family "tRNA". From Rfam's summary of the family: Transfer RNA (tRNA) molecules are approximately 80 nucleotides in length. Their secondary structure includes four short double-helical elements and three loops (D, anti-codon, and T loops). Lineage: Eukaryota; Metazoa; Chordata; Lepidosauria; Squamata; Varanidae. The record is from RNAcentral.
GGUAAGGUGGCUGAGUUAGGCGGUAGAUUGUAAAUCUACUUACGAGAAGAAAAAAUUUUCCCUUCCCA